This 443-nucleotide ribosomal RNA is filed under the name uncultured bacterium. RNAcentral's name for it is "partial 16S ribosomal RNA". It matches the Rfam family "Bacterial small subunit ribosomal RNA", at positions 338 to 795 of the family's 1533-position model. The record is from RNAcentral.
CCUACGGGAGGCUGCAGUGGGGAAUAUUGGGCAAUGGGCGCAAGCCUGACCCAGCAACGCCGCGUGAAGGAAGAAGGCUUUCGGGUUGUAAACUUCUUUUCUCAGGGACGAAGCAAGUGACGGUACCUGAGGAAUAAGCCACGGCUAACUACGUGCAAGCAGCCGCGGUCAUACGUAAGUGGCAAGCGUUAUCCGGAUUUCCUGGGUGUAAAGGGCGUGUAGGCGGGACUGCAAGUCAGAUGUGAAAACCACGGGCUCAACCUGUGGCCUGCAUUUGAAACUGUAGUUCUUGAGUACUGGAGAGGCAGACGGAAUUCCUAGUGUAGCGGUGAAAUGCGUAGAUAUUAGGAGGAACACCAGUGGCGAAGGCGGUCUGCUGGACAGCAACUGACGCUGAGGCGCGAAAGCGUGGGGAGCAAACAGGAUUAGAUACCCUAGUAGUC